UAAGGGCGCACGGUGGAUGCCUUGGCACUAGAAGCCGAUGAAGGACGUUACUAACGACGAUAUGCUUUGGGGAGCUGUAAGUAAGCUUUGAUCCAGAGAUUUCCGAAUGGGGAAACCCAGCAUGAGUUAUGUCAUGUUAUCGAUAUGUGAAUACAUAGCAUAUCAGAAGGCACACCCGGAGAACUGAAACAUCUUAGUACCCGGAGGAAGAGAAAGAAAAUUCGAUUCCCUUAGUAGCGGCGAGCGAAACGGGAAGAGCCCAAACCAACAAGCUUGCUUGUUGGGGUUGUAGGACACUCUAUACGGAGUUACAAAGGACGACAUUAGACGAAUCAUCUGGAAAGAUGAAUCAAAGAAGGUAAUAAUCCUGUAGUCGAAAAUGUUGUCUCUCUUGAGUGGAUCCUGAGUACGACGGAGCACGUGAAAUUCCGUCGGAAUCUGGGAGGACCAUCUCCUAAGGCUAAAUACUCUCUAGUGACCGAUAGUGAACCAGUACCGUGAGGGAAAGGUGAAAAGCACCCCGGAAGGGGAGUGAAAUAGAACCUGAAACCGUGUGCUUACAAGUAGUCAGAGCCCGUUAAUGGGUGAUGGCGUGCCUUUUGUAGAAUGAACCGGCGAGUUACGAUUUGAUGCAAGGUUAAGCAGUAAAUGUGGAGCCGUAGCGAAAGCGAGUCUGAAUAGGGCGUUUAGUAUUUGGUCGUAGACCCGAAACCAGGUGAUCUACCCUUGGUCAGGUUGAAGUUCAGGUAACACUGAAUGGAGGACCGAACCGACUUACGUUGAAAAGUGAGCGGAUGAACUGAGGGUAGCGGAGAAAUUCCAAUCGAACCUGGAGAUAGCUGGUUCUCUCCGAAAUAGCUUUAGGGCUAGCCUCAAGUGAUGAUUAUUGGAGGUAGAGCACUGUUUGGACGAGGGGCCCCUCUCGGGUUACCGAAUUCAGACAAACUCCGAAUGCCAAUUAAUUUAACUUGGGAGUCAGAACAUGGGUGAUAAGGUCCGUGUUCGAAAGGGAAACAGCCCAGACCACCAGCUAAGGUCCCAAAAUAUAUGUUAAGUGGAAAAGGAUGUGGCGUUGCCCAGACAACUAGGAUGUUGGCUUAGAAGCAGCCAUCAUUUAAAGAGUGCGUAAUAGCUCACUAGUCGAGUGACACUGCGCCGAAAAUGUACCGGGGCUAAACAUAUUACCGAAGCUGUGGAUUGUCCUUUGGACAAUGGUAGGAGAGCGUUCUAAGGGCGUUGAAGCAUGAUCGUAAGGACAUGUGGAGCGCUUAGAAGUGAGAAUGCCGGUGUGAGUAGCGAAAGACGGGUGAGAAUCCCGUCCACCGAUUGACUAAGGUUUCCAGAGGAAGGCUCGUCCGCUCUGGGUUAGUCGGGUCCUAAGCUGAGGCCGACAGGCGUAGGCGAUGGAUAACAGGUUGAUAUUCCUGUACCACCUAUAAUCGUUUUAAUCGAUGGGGGGACGCAGUAGGAUAGGCGAAGCGUGCGAUUGGAUUGCACGUCUAAGCAGUAAGGCUGAGUAUUAGGCAAAUCCGGUACUCGUUAAGGCUGAGCUGUGAUGGGGAGGAGACAUUGUGUCUUCGAGUCGUUGAUUUCACACUGCCGAGAAAAGCCUCUAGAUAGAAAAUAGGUGCCCGUACCGCAAACCGACACAGGUAGUCAAGAUGAGAAUUCUAAGGUGAGCGAGCGAACUCUCGUUAAGGAACUCGGCAAAAUGACCCCGUAACUUCGGGAGAAGGGGUGCUCUUUAGGGUUAACGCCCAGAAGAGCCGCAGUGAAUAGGCCCAAGCGACUGUUUAUCAAAAACACAGGUCUCUGCUAAACCGUAAGGUGAUGUAUAGGGGCUGACGCCUGCCCGGUGCUGGAAGGUUAAGAGGAGUGGUUAGCUUCUGCGAAGCUACGAAUCGAAGCCCCAGUAAACGGCGGCCGUAACUAUAACGGUCCUAAGGUAGCGAAAUUCCUUGUCGGGUAAGUUCCGACCCGCACGAAAGGCGUAACGAUUUGGGCACUGUCUCAACGAGAGACUCGGUGAAAUCAUAGUACCUGUGAAGAUGCAGGUUACCCGCGACAGGACGGAAAGACCCCGUGGAGCUUUACUGUAGCCUGAUAUUGAAAUUCGGCACAG
RNAcentral lists this ribosomal RNA (2122 nucleotides) under Staphylococcus aureus. RNAcentral describes it as "partial 23S ribosomal RNA". It matches the Rfam family "Bacterial large subunit ribosomal RNA", at positions 12 to 2132 of the family's 2925-position model. Lineage: Bacteria; Bacillati; Bacillota; Bacilli; Caryophanales; Staphylococcaceae. The record is from RNAcentral.